Molecule: ribosomal RNA, 253 nt
Filed under: uncultured bacterium
Lineage: Bacteria
Description: partial 16S ribosomal RNA
Rfam family: Bacterial small subunit ribosomal RNA
Source: RNAcentral
UACGUAGGGUGCAAGCGUUGUCCGGAAUUAUUGGGCGUAAAGAGCUCGUAGGCGGUCUGUCGCGUCGGCUGUGAAAUCCCGAGGCUCAACCUCGGGUCUGCAGUCGAUACGGGCAAGCUAGAGUAUUGCAGGGGAGACUGGAAUUCCUGGUGUAGCGGUGAAAUGCGCAGAUAUCAGGAGGAACACCGGUGGCGAAGGCGGGUCUCUGGGCAAUAACUGACGCUGAGGAGCGAAAGCGUGGGGAGCGAACAGG